RNAcentral lists this ribosomal RNA (253 nucleotides) under uncultured bacterium. RNAcentral describes it as "partial 16S ribosomal RNA". It matches the Rfam family "Bacterial small subunit ribosomal RNA", at positions 524 to 776 of the family's 1533-position model. The record is from RNAcentral.
UACGUGGGGUGCAAGCGUUGUCCGGAAUUAUUGGGCGUAAAGAGCUCGUAGGCGGUCUGUCGCGUCGGCUGUGAAAACUCGGGGCUCAACUCCGAGCUUGCAGUCGAUACGGGCAGGCUAGAGUUCGGCAGGGGAGACUGGAAUUCCUGGUGUAGCGGUGAAAUGCGCAGAUAUCAGGAGGAACACCGGUGGCGAAGGCGGGUCUCUGGGCCGAUACUGACGCUGAGGAGCGAAAGCGUGGGGAGCGAACAGG